This 844-nucleotide ribosomal RNA is filed under the name uncultured bacterium. Its description in RNAcentral is "bacterial SSU rRNA". It matches the Rfam family "Bacterial small subunit ribosomal RNA", at positions 46 to 888 of the family's 1533-position model. The record is from RNAcentral.
GCUUACACAUGCAGUCGUGCGAGAAAGUAUCUUCGGAUAUGAGUAGAGCGGCGGACGGGUGAGUAACGCGUAGGAAUCUACCUAGUAGAAGGGGAUAGCCCGGGGAAACUCGGAUUAAUACCGUAUACCUCCUUAGGGAGAAAGAGGGCCUCUCUUGAUGCUCUCGCUAUUAGAUGAGCCUGCGUAAGAUUAGCUUGUUGGUGAGGUAAUGGCUCACCAAGGCUACGAUCUUUAGCUGGUCUGAGAGGACGAUCAGCCACAUUGGGACUGAGACACGGCCCAGACUCCUACGGGAGGCAGCAGUGGGGAAUAUUGGACAAUGGGCGCAAGCCUGAUCCAGCCAUACCGCGUGUGUGAAGAAGGCUCUAGGGUUGUAAAGCACUUUAAGCAGAGAGAAAAAGUUAUAAGUUAAUACCUUAUAACCGUGAUGUUACCUGCAGAAUAAGCACCGGCUAAUUCCGUGCCAGCAACCGCGGUAAUACGGAAGGUGCAAGCGUUAAUCGGAAUUACUGGGCGUAAAGCGCGCGUAGGUGGUUUGUUAAGUUGGAUGUGAAAGCCCUGGGCUCAACCUAGGAACUGCAUCCAAAACUAACUCACUAGAGUACGAUAGAGGGAGGUAGAAUUCAUAGUGUAGCGGUGGAAUGCGUAGAUAUUAUGAAGAAUACCAGUGGCGAAGGCGGCCUCCUGGAUCUGUACUGACACUGAGGUGCGAAAGCGUGGGUAGCGAACAGGAUUAGAUACCCUGGUAGUCCACGCCGUAAACGAUGACAACUAGCUGUUGGGAGACAAUGUCUUUCAGUGGCGCAGCUAACGUUUUAAGUUGUCCGCCUGGGGAGUACGGCCG